Molecule: long non-coding RNA, 1630 nt
Filed under: Medicago truncatula (barrel medic)
Lineage: Eukaryota; Viridiplantae; Streptophyta; Magnoliopsida; Fabales; Fabaceae
Description: lncRNA gene36334
Source: RNAcentral
CGAGCUCAAAUUUGGAUAUUGUUUUCUUUCAUUAUUUUGAGUUUUGACAUUGCUCUUAGGAUGAGAAUCUAGUUCAGGUCUAUUGCCUGGUCCUGAUAUAUCAUCUUAUUUACAUAUUUGUUUGUUCUCAAAUGGAUCGCUCCUGUCAAAGAAAAAAUGUAUUGCUGCAAGUUCUGUUGUUUCUGCAACCUCAAAUGAUAGCUGUUGUGUUGUUCAUUUGUCUCUCUUUCUCGUUAGGCUAUUAUUAGUGUGGAUUUGUUUCAGUCUGUUAAUUGUUAGCCACACCUGUCAAUUGAUGAGUUUAACAUGGUUUUUGAUUCAAUUGGUAACUUCUGUGUUGAUUUAUUGAUCUUUUUUUUUUUGUUUGUGAUGUUGGCUUAUUCUGAAUUUCUCAUUAUUCUUGUUGGUAUAAAUGUUGUUGUGUAUGCUUUGGAAGGGCUAGAAAUGGUUUUGCAUUUGGAAUCUGAGGCUAAAGAUUAAGAGAAAUUUGGUAGGUAGGGCAUUCAGUUUGGGGAUGGGUUUGAUUUCUCUUUUCUUUGGUGCUUUAGAAUACUUUUCUUUCGGCGAGGAAACAAAGGAUAUUAUGCUAUCACUACUAAUUUGGGUCGAGAGUUGAUAAGUGUUGUGGUUCAGUUGAGUCUUUGUAUUAACUUGUUUAUUAUUUUUCUUUUAACGGUGAACCAUGCUUGUGAGGUGUUUGAGAGAAGGUUUUGUGAUUCUAGGUAUUGUUUUUGGUUUUGGUGGGGAGUUUGGCUGCUUUUUUGGUGCCUAAUUUUGCAAAUUUUUCUGUCACUUGUUGGAAGCAGUGUAUGUAUUGUUCUUGGCUUUGUGUUGCAUGCUUUGUUUUAUUGUAUGAUUUUGAAGGAGGAGUUAGGUUUGAGUUCAUGGUUUAAGAUGAUUCAAUUUUUAAAACUUUGUCUAUGUUCAUGUUCAGUCCGACUACAAUGCUUGUGUUCUCAUUUGUGAAACCAUGUUCUUAUUCUUAGAAAAAACUUAAAGUUAUCAACACCAAGUGUUUUGUUCGAUUUGGAUAAUAGAAAAACUGUUAUGUUCGUAUAGAAAACAAUUCGGUUCGUAAAGGUUAACAGUUUCAUUUUGCAACUGAGCCCUAUUCAUUGAACCUUAAAACCGGUUCUUUUUGGACAUUAUGAACGGUUGGGUUUAGAUAAACUGAUUCUGAUUUCGGUUCUGCUUUCUUCUUUAAUUGAACCAUAAAGAGUCCUAAUUUGAAUGCUAAAAGUUCAUUGCAACACUUUGAUGAAUCUUGUUACCAAUUAAUUAGAAGGCUCACAAUAAAUGUAACCAUUAGAACAUAAGUGGCUGAGAUGUUGAAAAUUGUUUCUGUUGUCCUUUAUGUCUGAACUUGAACUGAGAAGUACUUUGAUUUUGUUAGGUAUUGACUGGGUAGCAAUUAUGUGAGUUUGAGAGGAUAUAUAGUUGGUAUGUAUAGUUCCUUUUGUUAGAUUUUGUUUAAUCAUGUGCAUAUGCUUCAGUUGUACUUGUAGCAAAGUUAGUGUACUGCUUGCAACUCCAUUAAACAUAGCACAUCCCAAAAUCAAUUGAGACUUUUAUGCAGUCAAAAUAGGAGAAAAUGUACACAAGAUUACACUGAAGCAAACAAACAAAAAAG